GGCUCAGGACGAACGCUGGUGGCGUGCUUAACACAUGCAAGUCGAACGGUGAUGCCCAGCUUGCUGGGUGGAUCAGUGGCGAACGGGUGAGUAACACGUGAGCAACCUGCCCCUCACUUCGGGAUAAGCCUUGGAAACGAGGUCUAAUACCGGAUACGAGCGCCUGCCGCAUGGUGGGUGUUGGAAAGUUUUUCGGUGGGGGAUGGGCUCGCGGCCUAUCAGCUUGUUGGUGGGGUAAUGGCCUACCAAGGCGUCGACGGGUAGCCGGCCUGAGAGGGCGACCGGCCACACUGGGACUGAGACACGGCCCAGACUCCUACGGGAGGCAGCAGUGGGGAAUAUUGCACAAUGGGCGAAAGCCUGAUGCAGCGACGCCACGUGAGGGAUGACGGCCUUCGGGUUGUAAACCUCUUUCAGCAGGGAAGAAGCGAAA
This 433-nucleotide ribosomal RNA is filed under the name Promicromonospora sp. R-46035. Its description in RNAcentral is "bacterial SSU rRNA". It matches the Rfam family "Bacterial small subunit ribosomal RNA", at positions 21 to 455 of the family's 1533-position model. The record is from RNAcentral. Lineage: Bacteria; Bacillati; Actinomycetota; Actinomycetes; Micrococcales; Promicromonosporaceae.